RNAcentral lists this ribosomal RNA (256 nucleotides) under uncultured bacterium. RNAcentral's name for it is "partial 16S ribosomal RNA". It matches the Rfam family "Bacterial small subunit ribosomal RNA", at positions 524 to 776 of the family's 1533-position model. The record is from RNAcentral.
UACGUAGGGGGCAAGCGUUGUCCGGAUUUAUUGGGCGUAAAGAGCUCGUAGGCGGUUUGUCGCGUCUGCCGUGAAAGUCCGGGGCUCAACUCCGGAUCUGCGGUGGGUACGGGCAGACUAGAGUGAUGUAGGGGAGACUGGAAUUCCUGGUGUAGCGGUGAAAUGCGCAGAUAUCAGGAGGAACACCGGUGGCGAAGGCGGCUUUCUGGACGAUAACUGACGCUGGAGAACGCGAAAGCCGUGGGGAGCGAACCGG